This 236-nucleotide ribosomal RNA is filed under the name uncultured Actinomycetales bacterium. RNAcentral describes it as "partial 16S ribosomal RNA". It matches the Rfam family "Bacterial small subunit ribosomal RNA", at positions 96 to 334 of the family's 1533-position model. Lineage: Bacteria; Bacillati; Actinomycetota; Actinomycetes; Actinomycetales. The record is from RNAcentral.
UGGCGAACGGGUGAGUAACACGUGGGUGAUCUGCCCUGCACUUCGGGAUAAGCCUGGGAAACUGGGUCUAAUACCAGAUAGGAGCCAUUUUUAGUGUGAUGGUUGGAAAGUUUUUUUCGGUGUAGGAUGAGCUCGCGGCCUAUCAGCUUGUUGGUGGGGUAAUGGCCUACCAAGGCGGCGACGGGUAGCCGGCCUGAGAGGGUGGACGGCCACAUUGGGACUGAGAUACGGCCCAG